GAUGAACGCUGGCGGCGUGCCUAAUACAUGCAAGUCGAACGAAGCCUUCGGGCUUAGUGGCGAACGGGUGAGUAACACGUUGGUACCUACCCUCUAGUGGGGAAUAACUGGCCGAAAGGUCGGCUAAUACCGCAUAAUACCGCAAGGUUAAAGCAGCAAUGCGCUAGAGGAGGGUCCUGCGUCCCAUUAGCUUGUUGGUAGUGUAAUGGACUACUAAGGCUUCGACGGGUAGCCGGCCUGAGAGGGUGACCGGCCACACUGGGACUGAGACACGGCCCAGACUCCUACGGGAGGCAGCAGUGGGGAAUAUUGGACAAUGUGCGGAAGCCUGAUCCAGCAACGCCGCGUGAGGGAUGACGGCCUUCGGGUUGUAAACCUCUUUCAGCACCGACGAAGCGCAAGUGACGGUAGGUGCAGAAGAAGGACCGGCCAACUACGUGCCAGCCGCCGCAGUAA
Molecule: ribosomal RNA, 456 nt
Filed under: uncultured bacterium
Lineage: Bacteria
Description: partial 16S ribosomal RNA
Rfam family: Bacterial small subunit ribosomal RNA
Source: RNAcentral